RNAcentral lists this ribosomal RNA (251 nucleotides) under uncultured bacterium. Its description in RNAcentral is "partial 16S ribosomal RNA". It matches the Rfam family "Bacterial small subunit ribosomal RNA", at positions 524 to 776 of the family's 1533-position model. The record is from RNAcentral.
UACGGAGGGGGCUAGCGUUGUUCGGAAUUACUGGGCGUAAAGCGCGCGUAGGCGGCUUUGUAAGUUAGAGGUGAAAGCCCGGAGCUCAACUCCGGAACUCCUUUAAGACUGCAUGCUAGAACGUUGGAGAGGUGAGUGGAAUUCCGAGUGUAGAGGUGAAAUUCGUAGAUAUUCGGAAGAACACCAGUGGCGAAGGCGACUCACUGGACAACUGUUGACGCUGAGGUGCGAAAGCGUGGGGAGCAAACAGG